This 253-nucleotide ribosomal RNA is filed under the name uncultured bacterium. RNAcentral's name for it is "partial 16S ribosomal RNA". It matches the Rfam family "Bacterial small subunit ribosomal RNA", at positions 524 to 776 of the family's 1533-position model. The record is from RNAcentral.
UACAGAGGGUGCAAGCGUUGUCCGGAAUCAUUGGGCGUAAAGCGCGUGUAGGCGGCUUGGUAAGUCCGCUCUGAAAGCCCGGGGCUCAACCCCGGGAGGCGGGUGGAUACUGUCAAGCUCGAGUCCGGAAGAGGCGAGUGGAAUUCCUGGUGUGGCGGUGAAAUGCGCAGAUAUCAGGAGGAACACCAAUGGCGAAGGCAGCUCGCUGGGACGUGACUGACGCUGAGACGCGAAAGCGUGGGGAGCAAACAGG